CUUAGUGGCGAACGGGUGAGUAACGCGUGAGCAACCUGCCUUUCAGAGGGGGAUAACGUUUGGAAACGAACGCUAAUACCGCAUGAUAUAACGUAAUCGUCAUGAUUGUGGUUAUCAAAGGUAGCAAUCCGCUGAAAGAUGGGCUCGCGUCCGAUUAGGUAGUUGGUGGGGGUAACGGCCUACCAAGCCGACGAUCAGUAGCCGGACUGAGAGGUUGGACGGCCACAUUGGGACUGAGACACGGCCCAGACUCCUACGGGAGGCAGCAGUGGGGAAUAUUGCACAAUGGGCGCAAGCCUGAUGCAGCGAUGCCGCGUGAGGGAAAGAAGGUUUUAGGAUUGUAAACCUUCUGUCUUCAGGGACGAUAAUGACGGUACCUGAGGAGGAAGCUCCGGCUAACUACGUG
This 406-nucleotide ribosomal RNA is filed under the name uncultured bacterium. Its description in RNAcentral is "bacterial SSU rRNA". It matches the Rfam family "Bacterial small subunit ribosomal RNA", at positions 91 to 507 of the family's 1533-position model. The record is from RNAcentral.